UACGUAGGUGGCAAGCGUUAUCCGGAAUUACUGGGUGUAAAGGGAGCGCAGGCGGGAUAGCAAGUCAGCUGUGAAAACUAUGGGCUCAACCCAUAAACUGCAGUUGAAACUGUUAUUCUUGAGUGGAGUAGAGGCAAGCGGAAUUCCGAGUGUAGCGGUGAAAUGCGUAGAUAUUCGGAGGAACACCAGUGGCGAAGGCGGCUUGCUGGGCUCUAACUGACGCUGAGGCUCGAAAGUGUGGGGAGCAAACAGGAUUAGAUACCAGUCCGGCUGACUGACU
Molecule: ribosomal RNA, 280 nt
Filed under: Eubacterium coprostanoligenes
Lineage: Bacteria; Bacillati; Bacillota; Clostridia; Eubacteriales; Eubacteriaceae
Description: partial 16S ribosomal RNA
Rfam family: Bacterial small subunit ribosomal RNA
Source: RNAcentral